Molecule: non-coding RNA, 141 nt
Organism: Pelodiscus sinensis (Chinese soft-shelled turtle)
Lineage: Eukaryota; Metazoa; Chordata; Testudines; Trionychidae
Source: RefSeq, a predicted model, not a curated record
ACCUCCAGCUGGAGAGGUCAGACCUUGCAAGACACUUGAAACACCUUCCUGUCAAAAGAAGAUGAAAGCCGGGCGCUUUAUUUCUUACUCUGUGCACACAAGCCAAUGUUCCUCCCCAAUGAGAGCCCAAAGCUUCCAUGU